UGCUGGACGGGCAGGAGAAGACGCUGGACGUUUCCCAGAUUGACAGCAGGCCAAGCCCCUCGAAGUCGAAGCAGCAGAAGACACUGGACGGCUUGGGACCAAGCCCCUCAAAGCAACAGAAGACACUGGACGGCUUCCUCAAGCGGCCCAACACCUCCACGUCCAUGGAACUGGACCGCUUGGGACCAAGCCCCUCGAAGCAACAGAAGACACUGGACGGCUUCCUCAAGCGGCCCAACACCUCCACGUCCAUGGAGGAGGGUAUGCCCAGCCCCAGCACGAAGCGGCGGAUCUGAGGGACAACGGCACCGGAUCAAGGCUCGGCCACAUGGCUGCCUUUUUGUUGUAUUGUAGGACGUGUUUGGACUAGGCACUUGGGCACUGGACAGACGGUCG
Molecule: long non-coding RNA, 396 nt
Filed under: Sorghum bicolor (sorghum)
Lineage: Eukaryota; Viridiplantae; Streptophyta; Magnoliopsida; Poales; Poaceae
Description: long non-coding RNA (SBIC_LNC003912)
Source: RNAcentral